RNAcentral lists this non-coding RNA (183 nucleotides) under bovine gut metagenome. The record is from RNAcentral.
GGUGUCGGCGGCCGAAAGGCCAACGAUGAAAAGGGAACUAUGUGAGAUUCAUAGACAGACGGCGCUGCUGUGUGCUUCCAAGUCAAUCAGCCCCGGAGUUUGUCCACUGCAAAUCAACUUCUGCGGGAAGGCCAAACUUAAUAUCACGGGCGGAAGCGAGUCAGAAGACCUGCCAAAUCGAUA